AGGCUUAUGAUGACAUAUAAUUAUCUUUGCGAUUUCAAUGAGCCAUGAUGAUCAAUGAUUUGAUUGUUACACACACUUAGGCUC
This is a small nucleolar RNA of Malus domestica (apple), 84 nucleotides long. RefSeq annotates it as small nucleolar RNA R11/Z151. The record is from RefSeq and is a predicted model, not a curated record. NCBI's taxonomy places the organism in Eukaryota, Viridiplantae, Streptophyta, Magnoliopsida, Rosales, Rosaceae.